This is a non-coding RNA of Phrynosoma platyrhinos (Desert horned lizard), 71 nucleotides long. Lineage: Eukaryota; Metazoa; Chordata; Lepidosauria; Squamata; Phrynosomatidae. The record is from the annotation of a GenBank genome assembly.
UGCUGUGUGGCAUGGUGGUUGAGCAUUGGAUUACAACUCUGGAGACCAGGGUUCAAUUUCCAGCUCGGCCA